UACACUCCUACGGGAGGCAGCAGUGGGGAAUAUUGGACAAUGGGCGCAAGCCUGAUCCAGCCAUGCCGCGUGAGUGAUGAAGGCCCUAGGGUUGUAAAGCUCUUUCACCGGUGAAGAUAAUGACGGUAACCGGAGAAGAAGCCCCGGCUAACUUCGUGCCAGCAGCCGCGGUAAUACGAAGGGGGCUAGCGUUGUUCGGAUUUACUGGGCGUAAAGCGCACGUAGGCGGACUAUUAAGUCAGGGGUGAAAUCCCGGGGCUCAACCCCGGAACUGCCUUUGAUACUGGUAGUCUUGAGUUCGAGAGAGGUGAGUGGAAUUCCGAGUGUAGAGGUGAAAUUCGUAGAUAUUCGGAGGAACACCAGUGGCGAAGGCGGCUCACUGGCUCGAUACUGACGCUGAGGUGCGAAAGCGUGGGGAGCAAACAGGAUUAGAAACCCUGGUAGUCC
Molecule: ribosomal RNA, 447 nt
Filed under: uncultured organism
Description: partial 16S ribosomal RNA
Rfam family: Bacterial small subunit ribosomal RNA
Source: RNAcentral